Molecule: ribosomal RNA, 286 nt
Filed under: uncultured bacterium
Lineage: Bacteria
Description: partial 16S ribosomal RNA
Rfam family: Bacterial small subunit ribosomal RNA
Source: RNAcentral
CCUACGGGACGCAGCAGUGAGGAAUAUUGGUCAAUGGACGCAAGUCUGAACCAGCCAUGCCGCGUGCAGGAUGACGGCUCUAUGAAUUGUAAACUGCUUUUGUACGAGGGCAAACCCCGAUACGUGUCUCGGGUUGAAAGUAUCGUACGAAUAAGGAUCGGCUAACUCCGUGCCAGCAGCCGCGGUAAUACGGAGGAUCCGAGCGUUAUCCGGAUUUAUUGGGUUUAAAGGGUGCGCAGGCGGUUUGUUAAGUUAGCGGUGAAAUCUCGGGGCUCAACCCCGGCAC